Molecule: long non-coding RNA, 821 nt
Organism: Daphnia carinata
Lineage: Eukaryota; Metazoa; Arthropoda; Branchiopoda; Diplostraca; Daphniidae
Exons: 3
Source: RefSeq, a predicted model, not a curated record
GUGUAGAUACCGAGAAUAAUGUUAACCUCUACAUGAUCAAAAGAAAAUCUCGCACGUCCCACGAGAUUUUACACCAAAAAUGCCAAAUCAAUUCCGAAAAAUACUGUCGUUUUAUUCGUGAAUGCGAUGGAAAAAGAAGACAAAUAAAGAUGAUAAUUGGACAGGGGCAGCGUAUGCUUGUUGCUGAGCUGCUGCGGGGACUGCGGAAGCAAAUUGUUGCUGGGGAGCAGCCUGUUCUUGAGGAGCAGAGAAGGUCUGUUGUUGAGGGGCAGCAAAGGUCUGUUGCGUGGCGAACUCGGCAGCGGAUGAAGCGGCAGCUGUGGAUUGUUGAACUGAAGCUGCGCUGUUAAUGUUGACACACGAGCAAAUCUGUUGAGUAGUUGCUGAGGCACUCAAAGUGGAUGCUGGACGGACUAAUGGGCUGGCUGCCGGGAUCUGUUGCUCAACAGUAAAUGCAGGAGUGUUUGAAGCGAAUUGCUGAUUUGUGCUGGCUUGGAAUACCGACUGACCACCCAUCAUUCCGCUGAGGCCGCCAUUAUUCCCCAUUUGGGAUCCUUUGUUGGCCCACGAUCUAUACGCAUACAUCCCGAUAUCAAUAGCGAAGGAACUUGAUUUAACAUUAAUUAAUAUCAAGUCAACUUACUGAGACAUGUAUUGGCCAGAACAGGAGGCAGCCAUCAUGGCGCAGAUCACAACGACCUGAAGAGAACAAAAUAAUUUAAAACCAGGAAUCAAUCGUCGUCAAAACCCAUUCGGGCUUGUUGCCACAAAAUGAAUUAAAGUAAAUUGGAUUUUCACACAGGUACAAUGGGCAAACUAUG